This 376-nucleotide ribosomal RNA is filed under the name uncultured Sphingobacteriales bacterium. RNAcentral describes it as "bacterial SSU rRNA". It matches the Rfam family "Bacterial small subunit ribosomal RNA", at positions 1008 to 1382 of the family's 1533-position model. The record is from RNAcentral. Lineage: Bacteria; Pseudomonadati; Bacteroidota; Sphingobacteriia; Sphingobacteriales.
CUCAUCUUCCAGCAAUGGCGAUUGUGUAGGUGCUGCAUGGUUGUCGUCAGCUCGUGCCGUGAGGUGUCGGCUUAAGUGCCAUAACGAGCGCAACCCUUAUCGUUAGUUGCCAGCGGGUGAUGCCGGGAACUCUAGCGAGACUGCCACCGUAAGGUGUGAGGAAGGUGGGGAUGACGUCAAAUCAGCACGGCCCUUUACGUCCGGGGCUACGACACGUGUUACAAUGGCCGGUACAGAGGGCAGCUACCUGGUGACAGGAUGCUAAUCUCGAAAACCGGUCUCAGUUCGGAUCGAAGUCUGCAACUCGACUUCGUGAAGCUGGAUUCGCUAGUAAUCGCGCAUCAGCCAUGGCGCGGUGAAUACGUUCCCGGGCCUU